RNAcentral lists this ribosomal RNA (549 nucleotides) under Leptopelis ocellatus. RNAcentral's name for it is "partial 16S ribosomal RNA". It matches the Rfam family "Bacterial large subunit ribosomal RNA", at positions 1817 to 2594 of the family's 2925-position model. The record is from RNAcentral. Lineage: Eukaryota; Metazoa; Chordata; Amphibia; Anura; Arthroleptidae.
CGCCUCUUGACUAUCAUAAGAGGUCCAGCCUGCCCAGUGACUACAAUUUAACGGCCGCGGUACCCUAACCGUGCGAAGGUAGCAUAAUCACUUGUUUCCUAAAUAGAGACUAGUAUCAACGGCAUCACGAGGACUAUACUGUCUCCCCCCUAAAAUCAAUGAAACUAAUCCCCUCGUGAAGAAGCGAGGAUAUAAUUAUAAGACGAGAAGACCCCAUGGAGCUUUAAACGAACUUCAAUUGCUCCCCACUACACCACAUAAAAUGAGCAUCAAUGAUAGCUAGUUUUCGGUUGGGGUGACCGCGGAGUAAAAUAAAACCUCCACAAUGAAUGUAAUAAAAUACUAAUAAAAAAACUACAGUUUUAAUAAUCAAAAAAUUGACAUUAAUUGACCCAAACACUUGAUCAAUGAACCAAGUUACCCUGGGGAUAACAGCGCAAUCCAUUUUAAGAGCCCCUAUCGACAAAUGGGUUUACGACCUCGAUGUUGGAUCAGGGUGUCCCAGUGGUGCAGCCGCUACUAAUGGUUCGUUUGUUCAACGAUUAAAAC